RNAcentral lists this ribosomal RNA (491 nucleotides) under uncultured bacterium. RNAcentral describes it as "partial 16S ribosomal RNA". It matches the Rfam family "Bacterial small subunit ribosomal RNA", at positions 29 to 507 of the family's 1533-position model. The record is from RNAcentral.
AGUGAACGCUGGCGGUAGGCCUAACACAUGCAAGUCGAACGGCAGCACAGUAAGAGCUUGCUCUUACGGGUGGCGAGUGGCGGACGGGUGAGGAAUACAUCGGAAUCUACUUUUUCGUGGGGGAUAACGUAGGGAAACUUACGCUAAUACCGCAUACGACCUACGGGUGAAAGCAGGGGAUCUUCGGACCUUGCGCGAUUGAAUGAGCCGAUGUCGGAUUAGCUAGUUGGCGGGGUAAAGGCCCACCAAGGCGACGAUCCGUAGCUGGUCUGAGAGGAUGAUCGGCCACACUGGAACUGAGACCCGGUCCAGCCUCCUACGGGAGGCAGCAGUGGGGAAUAUUGGCCAAUGGGCGCAAGCCUGAUCCAGCCAUACCGCGUGGGUGAAGAAGGCCUUCGGGUUGUAAAGCCCUUUUGUUGGAAAGAAAAGCAGCAGGUUAAUACCCCGCUGUUCUGACGGUACCCAAAGAAUAAGCACCGGCUAACUUCGUG